Molecule: long non-coding RNA, 760 nt
Organism: Pezoporus occidentalis (night parrot)
Lineage: Eukaryota; Metazoa; Chordata; Aves; Psittaciformes; Psittacidae
Exons: 2
Source: RefSeq, a predicted model, not a curated record
UGUCAUUUUCUGCCUUGAACGCAGUCCACAACUCAGUCCCAGCUCUGGGGAAGGUGGGUGAGGUUUUGCAGACCAGGAAGGGCGUUCCCUGUGUACAGGUUUGCUACACACCUGGGAAGCCAUGUGUUUUGGUGGGGAAGGGGAGGUGAAAAUCCUUGAGGUCCCUGAAUUUCAAAGCUAACAUCUACUAAAUCCUUGGCUUAUUGUCUACCCUGUGAAGUGCAUCUGAAUUUUCACUAAGCCCAGCACAUCCCUCCUAAGGGCAGAGCUCAGUGGGUGGUGGUCAGGGCUGUGUUCUGCUGCCUCUGGCAGGAAAGAUGCUUGGCACCCAAAUAAGCCAAUUCCUGUUACCCAAACCAACCAAACAAGAAGAGGUUGUGGAGGUUACAAGCUGCCUGUGUGUAAUGUGAAAUGAAUUGAGCAAUGGGAUUUCUGCCUCCCUCAGAAGAUCCUACUGCUUUGGUGUACUUGUCUUGGCUCCUGAUGGAGACUUCAGAGAUCUUUGUGCCAGGAAGAUAAUCCUGCCACCUUUCUGAAGGCAGGACUGAAGUGCUCAGGCCUCCUUGGAAUGAUGCAUUUUGAUGGUGCUGUCAUGGGAUGGACAUUCAUUGUGGACAUGCUGUGAAUGUGCGAGUGGCAUCAUUUCACACAAGAUGAAGAGGGACCGUGAAUGCAUCACUUCAUGAGGUGGGGAGCACUGGGUUAGUCGUGGUUACCGCGCAGCAGCUAUUGUGCUCCUGCUGAAAUCCAGUGGCUGCCC